This 305-nucleotide ribosomal RNA is filed under the name uncultured bacterium. Its description in RNAcentral is "bacterial SSU rRNA". It matches the Rfam family "Bacterial small subunit ribosomal RNA", at positions 338 to 658 of the family's 1533-position model. The record is from RNAcentral.
CCUACGGGGCGCAGCAGUGGGGAAUAUUGGGCAAUGGACGCAAGUCUGACCCAGCAACGCCGCGUGAAGGAAGAAGGCUUUCGGGUUGUAAACUUCUUUUAAGGGGGAAGAGCAGAAGACGGUACCCCUUGAAUAAGCCACGGCUAACUACGUGCCAGCAGCCGCGGUAAUACGUAGGUGGCAAGCGUUGUCCGGAUUUACUGGGUGUAAAGGGAGUGUAGGCGGGAAAGAAAGUCAGAAGUGAAAACUAUGGGCUUAACCCAUAGCCUGCUUUUGAAACUGUUUUUCUUGAGGGAAGUAGAGGG